Molecule: transfer RNA, 68 nt
Filed under: Ctenoblepharys adspersa
Lineage: Eukaryota; Metazoa; Chordata; Lepidosauria; Squamata
Description: tRNA-Ala
Source: RNAcentral
AAGACCUAUGUGAUACUAACACACAUCUCCUGAAUGCAACUCAGACACUUUAAUUAAGAUAAGGCCUC